This 724-nucleotide long non-coding RNA is filed under the name Ananas comosus (pineapple). RNAcentral's name for it is "long non-coding RNA (ACOM_LNC013462)". Lineage: Eukaryota; Viridiplantae; Streptophyta; Magnoliopsida; Poales; Bromeliaceae. The record is from RNAcentral.
UGCAUAUUUUUAUUCAUUGCAUUACAUGUUUACAUGAAUUUUGGUGCUUUGAAUUUUGUUUGAUUAAAAAUCUUUUUGAGGAAAGGUGUUUAGGAAUUCAAAUUUUUGAGAAAGGAGAUGAUUGAGAAUCUUUAUUGUGAGAAGAGAAAUUUCUUUAAUGUCGCGUAAACGGUAUUAACCUUCACAAUCAUAUUAAGUUAAAUUCAUAUUAAUUAUCGUCUUUACUCCACUAUUUAUUAUUCUGACGAUAAUUUAUUAUAUGAUUUCUUAUUGCAUAAAUUCAUCAAAAUUUUGAAAUCAAAUUUGAUUUUUUGGUGAUUAAUUCAUCUUAGUUGUGAGUGUUGGAUAUGAUGAAUGGAUAUUCUCUAAUAGACUAAAAUUUGUCAAAUUAUUUUCAAUUGUGAGAUUGCCUAAUUUAGGGGGAGUUUGAAAUUAUAAAUAAAAUAAAAAGGAGAAACUCCUAUGUUUAAAAGAUGUGGAAAGAGUUACAUCCAAAUGGAGUGUGAAAACUACCACCACAUGUAGGAAAGAGCUACCACCCCGGUCGUCCGGCAAGUGUGUGAAGCUACCACAUGAAGAUUAAAUUGAAAAAGCCGAAAAAGGUUGAAAAAAAAUAUAAAAAUAUUCUAGAGUUUUUCGGAGUAAUAAGGUGUUAGUUUGAAAAAGAUGCUCAAAGAGCCACCCCCGGUAUCAUUUUGGUUAAAUCUCUAUAUUGAACAUGUUA